RNAcentral lists this ribosomal RNA (274 nucleotides) under uncultured bacterium. Its description in RNAcentral is "partial 16S ribosomal RNA". It matches the Rfam family "Bacterial small subunit ribosomal RNA", at positions 523 to 796 of the family's 1533-position model. The record is from RNAcentral.
AUACGUAGGAGGCGAGCGUUGUUCGGAAUCACUGGGCUUAAAGAGCGUGUAGGCGGAGUGUCAGGUGUCUUGUGAAAGCCCCGGGCUCAACCCGGGAAUUGCUGGGCAAACCGGCACUCUUGAGGCAGGUAGAGGUCAUUGGAACGACUGGUGGAGCGGUGAAAUGCGUAGAUAUCAGUUGGAACGCCGGAGGCGAAAGCGAGUGACUGGGCCUGUCCUGACGCUGAGACGCGAAAGCGUGGGUAGCAAACAGGAUUAGAAACCCCAGUAGUCC